AACCUCCGCAAUUUACAUAAAUUUGCGGCAAUAUAUUAGCCCCCACAAAAUUAUACAAUUUAUGGGAGUCUAAAACCAUUCGCAACCCUAAAAUAAUAGCGGGUAAUUUAUUUCAGACUCCCUCCAAUCUUUUUCACCUAGAAACUUCCGCCCCUCCAACAACAAAAUACACUGUCUUCUUCUUCUUUGAACUUCUCUUUUCCUCACAGAGAAAGAAAUCUUGUGUCCUUGUCCUACGCUACAUUUGGAAACUGUCUUCUCAAUUUUCUCCUUAUUGAGUGUGAGGCAAAAUACACCCGUUCAUUAUUUCUUCUUUGAUUGAGUCCACUACAAAUCUUUGCCAAUAAUCUCCUUCUUCCAGGUUCAUCAGCGGCACUUGAAAGUUAAUACUUUUCUAUGGAUAAAUCUUGGAUUAGAAAGCCAAGGAACACCAAAAAAUAUUUAUUUGGUUUAAAUCAGUUUUUAGAUUUUGCAUUUGCUAAUGCUGUUGUUGGAGAUAGAAUAAAGUGUCCUUGUCCUAAAUGUGGAUUCGCAAAGUGGCAAACUAGAGAGGUAGCGCUCGAACAUUUGAUUUGCAAACCAUUCCCUCAAAAUUAUGUCACUUGGACUAUUCAUGGUGAAAGAAAUAUACUGCCUAAUUCUAUAAAUAAUGUGGUUAUACAAGAUACAUUACCUCCUAAAAAUCCAGUAGAAUUAUUGAUUAAUGAAGCAUUUGGGGGCCUAAGGCACGAUGGGGUUGAUGUAGGUCCGUCACAAGUAGCGGGUGGUGAAGAAAGGUUAAAUGAUGAGCCUGCUUCAAAUGAUAAAGACUUUUUCGAGUUUCUUAGAGAUGGAAGUCAAGAAUUGUUUGAAGGGUCCAAGUACUCAAAACUAGAAUUUUUAUUAAAAUUGUAUCACAUAAAAUGUUUGUCUGGGCUAAGUGACAAGGGAAUGGCCAUGAUACUAGAUUUGUUGAGGGAUGCAUUUACAUUUGCACGGAUCCCUCAUUCUUUUUAUGAGGCCAAGAAAACUAUCAGCAAGCUUUGUCUUGAUUAUAUCAAGAUAGAUGCUUGUCCAAAUGAUUGUAUGUUAUUUUGGGGGAAUGAUGCUAAUGAGGAAACAUGUAAGUAUUGUCACACUUCUAGGUGGAAGCCUAAUAAGAAAAGAAAUGAAGAUCUUGUGUCUACUACAGGUAAUAAGAAAACAAGAAGAAAACUAAGAAGCCUGCAAAUAUUUUGCGUUACUUUCCAUUAAAACUAAGGUUGCAGAGAUUGUUCAUGUGCUCUAAAAUAGCAAAAUAUAUGAGAUGGCAUGCUGAGGAUAGUAACGAAGAUGGAAUCAUGAGGCAUCCUAGAGAUGGUGAGGCAUGGAAGAGGUUUACAACUUUUCCUGGAUUUGCCAUUGAUCCCGUGUUCGGCUUGGCCUAGCUAGUGAUGGCUUCAAUCCUUUUGGAACGAUGAGUACUAAUUAUAGCAUUUGGCCAGUCAUUUUAGUUCCAUACAACCUUCCUCCUUGGUUGUGUAUGAAACCAUCCAAUUUUAUUCUCUCAAUGAUCAUUCCUGGUCCACGUACGACGAGAAAUAACAUAGAUGUUUACCUACAACCCCUUAUUAAGGAGUUGAAUGAGUUGUGGAGUGAAUGUGUCGAAACUUUUGAUUCAUCAAAGAAAGAGAUGUUUAGAUUGCGAGCUACUCUUAUGUGUACAAUUAGUGACUUUCCUGGACUUGAUAUCUUAUCUGGUUGGAACUCACAUACUGGUUUAGCAUGUCCCACUUGUAAUUUUGAUGCAGAACCUUGUCGACUUCGCCAAAGUAGAAAGUGGUGCUUUAUUGGUCAUCGUAGAUUUUUAGCAAGAAAUCAUAAAUUUAGACUGAUGAGGCAUCACUUUGAUGGAAAUGUGGAGGAAAGAAACCCACCGAGAAAGUUAUCCGGAUCUGAUAUUUUGCAACAAGUGAAAGAUAUUGAUGUUACAUUUGGAAAACCGACUGAGUUGAAUGAGAGAAGAAAAAGAUCUAGACAAAGAAAUAUUGGGCAAGGUGCAACACAACAAUGGAGGAAAAAAAGCAUAUUCUUUAAUCUUCCAUAUUGGGAGUUCAACUCGUUGCGCCACAAUUUAGACGUCAUGCACAUCGAAAAGAAUGUGUUUGACAAUAUUAUAUAUUCUUUGCUUAAUGAUAAAGACAAGUCAAAAGAUAAUAUUAAGGCGCGAAAAGAUUUGCAAGAUAUGGGUAUAAGGCGUGAUCUUUGGCCCGACGAGAAUGAUGAGUGUAGGCUUGCUGUAUUUACCAUUCCAAAGGAAAAGAAAGUGGCUUUCCUCAUAACUUUAAAGAAUAUUUCAGUGCCGGAUAGUUACUCGAGUAAUAUUUCUGAUUGCAUUGAUCCGGACCAAAGGAGAAUCUUUGGAUUAAAGAGUCAUGAUUGUCACAUUAUUAUGGAGCAAUUGCUACCAAUAGCAAUUCGCAAUGUGCUGCCAAAGGAGGUUGUUGCAGUCUUAGUAGAGCUUUCCUUUUUUUUCAGAGAACUUGUCUUAAAAGUUUGAGUUUGGCAGAUUUAGAAAAGUUACAAGAUCGAAUUGUGCUCACACUUUGCAACUUGGAUAUAUUAUUCCCACCAUCAUUUUUUACUGUAAUGGUCCAUUUAACUGUCCAUCAAGUAGAUGAAGCAAUACAAGGUGGUCCGGUACAUUAUAGGUGGAUGUAUUUUGUUGAAAGAUUGUUAGGUCAUUUUAAGUCCCUAGUAGGGAAUAAGGCACAACCAGAAGGUUCCAUAGCUGAAGGUUACAUUGUUGAAGAAGCUCUAACUUUUUGUUCUCGUUACUUUGAGGGGAUUGAGUCAAGGCUGAAUAGGCCUAGACGUGUGAAUGAUGAACCAAAUCUUAAUGAGGCUUCUGAAAUAUCAUCUAUCUUCCCUCCACAAGGUAAACCAGUUGGAGGCUCCUCAACGUUCCCAUUAACUUCAUUAGUGAAGACGCAAGCUCAUCGAUAUGUGUUAUUUAAUUGUGCGGCAGUGAAGCCAUUUAUUGAUGAGUUUAGGGAUUACAUAAGAAAGAACACAAGAGGACGGAAACCUUCAGCAUCAGAUUUGGAGAGGAGGGUUAAUAAGGAGUUUCCUGAUUGGUUCCCAAAACGGAUUAUGAACCCAGAAAUUGUAGACACCAUCUCUACUGAACUGAAGUUCCUAGCACGAGGUCCAGCGCCAGAUGCUAGAAGGUUCACUGCUUAUAACAUCAAUGGAUUCAAAUUUCGAGUUUUGUCUAGAGAUCAAGGAUUAAAAACUCAAAAUAGUGGAGUUUUUCUUACUUCUGACACCUCUUGUGUUGCAUCUAGUGCUGAUAGAAGUGCAAGGCACGCAGACUUGCCAUACUAUGGGAAGUUAGAAGAUAUUAUUGAGCUUAAUUAUUAUCGAUUCACAGUUGUGCUCUUCAAAUGCCAGUGGGCAGACACUACUCGAGAUAGAGGGUUCAAAAGAGAUGCUUGGAAUUUUAAUUGUGUCAAUUUUUCUAGAUUGAUUCAUAUUGGUGAUCGUGAGGAUGAUGAUCCUUACAUUGAAGCAUCUCAAGCAAAUAUGGUUUAUUAUGUUGAUGAUGAAACAGAUAAAGAAUGGAGUGUGGCUGUACAUCUAAAGCCGAGAGAUUUAUUUGAUAUGGGAGAGGUUGAUGAAAAUGAAAUAUGUGAGAAUCAACCAUACCAGCAACAAGAACUUGAACAAUUUUUUAAUGAUGCUUAUGAGAAUAUCCAAAUUGCAAUAGAUGAGCAUAUGUCUGAAUAGAUAUGCCGAAGACCAAACGUUUCCAGAAUUUACAAAAGUCAGUUCAAUCAGCAUCUUCUUCACAAUCUACUGAUGCGGCACCAGAUAUGAUAUCACUAUUUCAGGCCACAACACAGCCAAGGCAGCAAGCUCUUUCAUUUCAAGCCAUGGGGCAGACAACUCCUUGCAUUCAUCCGACUCCUUUAUUUCAGGCGACAUCACUACCAGCUCCUUCAUUUCAAGCCACAAGACAGCAAACCGCUUCAUUUCAGGUCACAACACUGCCAACUCCUUCAUUUCAGGCCAUGGGACAGACAACUCCUUCAUUCUAGGCCACGGGACAAACAACUCCUUCAUUUCAACGUCCAAUUAAUUCCACACCAGCACAAGCAACAUCCAAUAAGCAUGCUAAACGUGAGUCUUCACAUCAUUGGACUGUCGAUGAAAUAGAUUCACAUGGAGAUACUAAAAGGCUCAAAUUGAAGACUAGAGAAGCAUUAAGUUUACCUCAGGGAGAACGUGUUGUGGUGGAGUUUGAUUGCUUGGAUCCGAUUGGCGAAGCACAAGGCCUUCUUGCAGGCGUAUGUGGCCUUUUAGCAACUGACUGUACCAUAUUUCCAAUUAGCUUUGAUAAAUGGUCGGAUAUGCCUAAGUCAUACUUUAACGACUGCUUUAAUAAAAUUAUAAAGUUGCACGAGAAUAUGUUUAUCGCUCUAUUGCAAAGAAGUGGGCUACAAGUAGGCAGAAGUUGUUGGAUGAGUUUAAAGACCCACUUAAAAC
This is a non-coding RNA of Nicotiana tabacum (common tobacco), 4506 nucleotides long. NCBI's taxonomy places the organism in Eukaryota, Viridiplantae, Streptophyta, Magnoliopsida, Solanales, Solanaceae. The record is from RefSeq and is a predicted model, not a curated record.